CCUACGGGGGGCUGCAGUGGGGAAUAUUGGACAAUGGGGGCAACCCUGAUCCAGCCAUGCCGCGUGCGUGAUGAAGGCCUUAGGGUUGUAAAGCGCUUUCGGCGGGGACGAUGAUGACGGUACCCGCAGAAGAAGCCCCGGCUAACUUCGUGCCAGCAGCCGCGGUAAUACGAAGGGGGCUAGCGUUGUUCGGAAUUACUGGGCGUAAAGGGCGCGUAGGCGGCCCUGCAAGUCAGAGGUGAAAGUCCUGGGCUCAACCUGGGGAUUGCCUUUGAAACUGCGGGGCUGGAGACCGGGAGAGGGUAGCGGAAUUCCCAGUGUAGAGGUGAAAUUCGUAGAUAUUGGGAAGAACACCAGUGGCGAAGGCGGCUACCUGGACCGGUUCUGACGCUGAGGCGCGAAAGCGUGGGGAGCAAACAGGAUUAGAUACCCUAGUAGUC
Molecule: ribosomal RNA, 440 nt
Filed under: uncultured bacterium
Lineage: Bacteria
Description: partial 16S ribosomal RNA
Rfam family: Bacterial small subunit ribosomal RNA
Source: RNAcentral